This 518-nucleotide ribosomal RNA is filed under the name uncultured bacterium. RNAcentral's name for it is "bacterial SSU rRNA". It matches the Rfam family "Bacterial small subunit ribosomal RNA", at positions 8 to 518 of the family's 1533-position model. The record is from RNAcentral.
AGAGUUUGAUUCUGGCUCAGGAUGAACGCUAGCGGCAGGCCUAAUACAUGCAAGUCGAACGGGAUGGUCGCCUUCGAGCGGCUUGAGAGUGGCGCACGGGUGCGCAACGCGUAUGCAACCAACCCCCCGACAGGCGGAUAGCCGGUGGAAACGCCGGAUAAUACGCCAUGGUUCCGGGUGAGGGCAUCCUCACGUGGAUAAAGCCGAGAGGCGGUCGGGGACGGGCAUGCGUCCCAUUAGGUAGUCGGCGGGGUGACGGCCCACCGAGCCCGUGAUGGGUAGGGGAUCUGAGAGGACGGUCCCCCACACUGGUACUGAGACACGGACCAGACUCCUGCGGGAGGCAGCAGUAAGGGAUAUUGGUCAAUGGGCGUAAGCCUGAACCAGCCAUGCCCGCGUGAGGGAAUGAGGCCCUACGGGUCGUGAACCUCUUUUAUUCGGGGACAAUGGCGGCGUCGAGAACGCUGUUUGAGGGUACCGAAGGAAUAAGCGUCGGCUAACUCCGUGCCAGCCGCUGC